RNAcentral lists this long non-coding RNA (584 nucleotides) under Homo sapiens (human). Its description in RNAcentral is "HSALNT0162969". Lineage: Eukaryota; Metazoa; Chordata; Mammalia; Primates; Hominidae. The record is from RNAcentral.
CUAAGUACCAAAUCUUCACAAUUCACUUGAUCCUUUUGUUGAUGGCAGGAUAUAUAAAUUUUGUAGAGCAGUUGAAAGUGAACUGAAUUUCUAAUAAGUUUUUAGCACUUUGAUAUCUUUAUCACUCUGGAAGCAUUAACAGAACAGGGCUCUUUAUAUGGCGUCUUUUCCUAGGUCACCUUCAAACAAAGUUGCUCUUCCGAGCACUGAAGCAAAGCAUGUCCUGGCUCAAAAGGCCCUCAUUUAAAACCACAGCUACAGUCCGGUCUCAUGAAGAUGCUCGGCUGCUUGAGCGACCUUUCUUUAUAUUUCAUAAGUUCAUCUUUGCCUCAAAGACUGGAAAAACAAAACAGGAUUCAGAGCUUACCAGAGUGGAGAGGGUGUGGACACUAUCCAGACUUCCACUUGUGGAUCCACAAAGGACAUUCCUAACAAGAAUGAGCUUAUGAUAAAUGGAUCAGAUUCAAAUGAGUUAAGCAGGUCUCUGAAUACAUUAUUUCCUGAUAAAAAAAUUAAUUCCUCUCUGAUGUAAUAUUACACAUACAAACAUACACACACAGCCUCUCCCCAAACACACACACACA